AAGGGAGUAGUUCCUGUUUGCACCCCAACUUGUCCUAGUAAAUCAAAUUGCAAAAAUGAUACAACAUUAUUCAACUUGAAAGGAGAAAUUCUCGAAACUCUAAAUUACGGACGGUAUGCAACUGGCUGCGGCAGAUCUUUCAUGUUUUCUACGAACAC
This is a long non-coding RNA of Neocloeon triangulifer, 158 nucleotides long. RefSeq lists it as uncharacterized. NCBI's taxonomy places the organism in Eukaryota, Metazoa, Arthropoda, Insecta, Ephemeroptera, Baetidae. The record is from RefSeq and is a predicted model, not a curated record. The transcript has 3 exons.